AGUGAACGCUGGCGGUAGGCCUAACACAUGCAAGUCGAACGGCAGCACAGUAAGAGCUUGCUCUUACGGGUGGCGAGUGGCGGACGGGUGAGGAAUACAUCGGAAUCUACUUUUUCGUGGGGGAGAACGUAGGGAAACUUACGCUAAUACCGCAUACGACCUACGGGUGAAAGCAGCGGAUCUUCGGACCUUGCGCGAUUGAAUGAGCCGAUGUCGGAUUAGGUAGUUGGGGGGGUAAAGGCCCACCAAGGCGUCGAUCCGCAGCUGGGCUGAGAGGAUGAUCAGCCACACUGGAACUUAGACACGGUCCAGGCUCCUACGGGAGGGAGCAGUGGGGAAUAUUGGACAAUGGGCGCAAGCCUGAUCCAGCCAUACCGCGGGGGUGAAGAAGGCCUUCGGGUUGUAAAGCCCUUUUGUUGGGAAAGAAAAGCAGCAGGUUAAUACCCCGCUGUUCUGACGGUACCCAAAGAAUAAGCACCGGCUAACUUCGUG
RNAcentral lists this ribosomal RNA (492 nucleotides) under uncultured bacterium. RNAcentral describes it as "partial 16S ribosomal RNA". It matches the Rfam family "Bacterial small subunit ribosomal RNA", at positions 29 to 507 of the family's 1533-position model. The record is from RNAcentral.